This 427-nucleotide ribosomal RNA is filed under the name uncultured bacterium. RNAcentral describes it as "bacterial SSU rRNA". It matches the Rfam family "Bacterial small subunit ribosomal RNA", at positions 355 to 774 of the family's 1533-position model. The record is from RNAcentral.
UAGGGAAUAUUGGACAAUGGGGGCAACCCUGAUCCAGCCAUGCCGCGUGAGUGAAGAAGGCCCUCGGGUUGUAAAGCUCUUUUGUCCGGAAAGAAAAGCUUCGGGUUAAUACCCCGGGGUUCUGACGGUACCGGAAGAAUAAGCACCGGCUAACUUCGUGCCAGCAGCCGCGGUAAUACGAAGGGUGCAAGCGUUACUCGGAAUUACUGGGCGUAAAGCGUGCGUAGGUGGUUGUUUAAGUCUGAUGUGAAAGCCCUGGGCUCAACCUGGGAAUGGCAUUGGAAACUGGGCAGCUAGAGGGCGGUAGGGGGUAGUGGAAUUCCCGGUGGAGCAGUGAAAUGCGUAGAGAUCGGGAGGAACAUCUGUGGCGAAGGCGACUGCCUGGACCAGCACUGACACUGAGGCACGAAAGCGUGGGGAGCAAACA